ACUCCUACGGGAGGCAGCAGUGGGGAAUAUUGCACAAUGGGGGAAAGCCCUCGAUGCAGCCAUGCCGCGUGUGUGAAGAAGGCCUUCGGGUUGUAAAGCACUUUCAGCGAGGAGGAAAGGGUGUAAGUUAAUACCUUACAUCUGUGACGUUACUCGCAGAAGAAGCACCGGCUAACUCCGUGCCAGCAGCCGCGGUAAUACGGAGGGUGCGAGCGUUAAUCGGAAUUACUGGGCGUAAAGCGUGCGCAGGCGGUUUGUUAAGCGAGAUGUGAAAG
This 275-nucleotide ribosomal RNA is filed under the name uncultured bacterium. Its description in RNAcentral is "partial 16S ribosomal RNA". It matches the Rfam family "Bacterial small subunit ribosomal RNA", at positions 335 to 600 of the family's 1533-position model. The record is from RNAcentral.